Molecule: long non-coding RNA, 708 nt
Filed under: Setaria italica (foxtail millet)
Lineage: Eukaryota; Viridiplantae; Streptophyta; Magnoliopsida; Poales; Poaceae
Description: long non-coding RNA (SITA_LNC002100)
Source: RNAcentral
UCGGACUUCGGAGCAGAGAGCUUGCCAGGCCUGGCUAAUCAGCUCGUGUUAAAUCUUAGAUGGGCGAGGAGCUGUUUGGUUUUGGCAAAAUGGCAAGUUGGCAACGUUGCUUGAUCAAAAGAAAUGGCAAAAUAUGGAACGAAAGAAACUCGCGCAUCUUCCGCCAUCAGGGCUCCCCGACGACAACGCUAGUCGCAAAAAUCAAACUCUCUGCCAACAUGUGGAUAACAGCAGGGGCGAAAGUCUUAGCGGCGAUCCUACCAUAGAUGUCCCACCGGUGGGAUACCUUCCGGUCUUUUUCAUGUACCUUUUCGCUAACCGGCUAGCCGGCUGUAACCCAUCUUUAUCAAUGAAAUAGGCACAAUCUCGUGCCUCUUCCUUUCAAAAAAAAAAAAGAAAUGGCAACGUUGCUAGUGGUGCCGGGCCGGUGCUGGGGUUGCUAGGCGCCUAGGCGUAUUCGGAAAGGGUCAAGAAUUGCGGGGGGUUGCCGGCGUCCGGCGGGCACCUACCGCGGCGCGGCCGGUUCGCCACCUACCCGGCCGCGGCAGAAGGCGAGACGAUGGCUUCACACGCCCUGGAGAGAAUGAGCAUGCGGCGAGCCUGUUGAGUGUUGACGUUUGUGUGCCAGGAGUCGUUGCGCGCGCGCGCGGUUGUCGUGUCGUGUGUGGUCAGCGGCGUGCCAGGGGGUGUGGAUGUGUCAGGUCCGGG